Molecule: long non-coding RNA, 961 nt
Organism: Alosa sapidissima (American shad)
Lineage: Eukaryota; Metazoa; Chordata; Actinopteri; Clupeiformes; Clupeidae
Exons: 4
Source: RefSeq, a predicted model, not a curated record
AUGUACGAACUCUGGGGUGGAGUCAUUUACACUUCCGGUCCUUCAGUUGAGAUUUUUGAAAAGAAGAUGGACGCCAUUGAAGUACAUCGUGGGAUAGUAAAAGGGUCAGCAAAAUGCUCAUCAAUGUCCAGUACCAUGGAGAAAAAAGUACCUCAAACUGCAGCCUGGUUUUUCCUUUCAAAGUUUAAUUCGAGAAGGCACAUCAAUCCACUGGUGCAAAAGAAGAGAACACCUCUGCCAUAGGAGAUUCAGCAGAAAAAGGCCAAACAGAUGGUCCAGGAGGUUCUGGAGAAGAGUUAAAUGGGAGAGGAAAUAAUGGAGGAGUAUAGUAGAGCACCUUGACACACUGUACAAGAAGGCAUCUUCUGAAUAUCCUGGUCCAUGGUUAUGUUUUGUUUUGAAUAAAUUAAUCUAAUUGUAUACAACAGUUAGGUCCAGUCAAACUAUUAACUCUUUUCUGACUGAACGAGAGGGAUUCCAUGGGUGGGGUUAUCUCAGGACAUCCCAGACUUUUCAGUGGUAGUGCCAUUUUUACAUUGAUCCAAUGUUAUCGUUCCAUUCAUUCAAAGUGAGAGAACAUUGUAACAUGACAUCACAAUUGACUGUUUGAGUGAGGAAAAAUAGAGUGCAUGUAAUAGGGUGAAUAAUGUAAUGUGAAAUAAAAUGAAAAAUCAUUAUUGUGCACAUAUAGCCUCACACAACCUGCCUGCAGAGUGACAAGAAAACCCUAAAUUAAUGUAUUUUAAUCCAGGUAUUAGGUAGUAGAAUUGCUGUGUAAAAACAAUAUUGAACUGGUGAUUGUGGGGUUGAUAAAUGCUAUAAGGUAGAACCUUAGCUGUAGGGAUAUCUAUUACCAACUACACAGUGGCUCCAUUUUCAAAAAACUCCUGAAGACCCAGCUCUUUAGAGAACAUCUCCUCUCAUAGCACUACUUACAACAAGUCUUGCUGAUCCUAGUACU